This is a non-coding RNA of Brachypodium distachyon (stiff brome), 125 nucleotides long. NCBI's taxonomy places the organism in Eukaryota, Viridiplantae, Streptophyta, Magnoliopsida, Poales, Poaceae. The record is from Rfam.
AAUGUACUCCCUCCGACCGGUGUUACUUGUCUUAAAUUUGCGUAAAUACGGAUGUAUCUAUACGUAAAAAGUGUCUAGAUACAUGUAAUAUUUCGACAAGUAAUUCCGGCCGAAGAGAGUAUUUU